AGGAGAAAGCUUACCUCGACAGGAAAGCUUUGGCUGGGAGGAACACAUUGAAGAUACUAACCAUAAACUCAAGAGAAACAAAGAGCCUCCAAAACCAGAAACUGCAUCCAUGGCGGCGCUGCUUCUCCAUGGACAGGCCAUUGUUCCCAUGCAAUUGGUUGCACGUGUUCCUGCUGCUUUAUUUUAUUGGCCUCUAAUCCAACUUGCUGGUGCCGCAACUGAUAAUAUUGCAUUAGGCGUUUCUGUUGGCAGCAAAGGAAGAGGAAAUGUUCCUGGUUCCACCUCUGAUAUACGAGCCACUCUUCUCCUGCUUUUAAUUGGUAAAUGCACAGCAGAUCCUGCGGCUUUUAAAGAAGUUGGUGGGGAGGAAUUCUUUAGAGAGUUGUUGGAUGAUACAGACUCAAGAGUGGCAUAUUACUCUUCAAUGUUUCUUCUGAAGAGGAUGAUGACAGAGGAACCGGAAAAUUACCAACGCAUGCUGCAUAACCUUGUUUCUAGAGCUCAGCAGAGCAACAAUGAAAAACUCCUGGAGAAUCCUUACCUUCAAAUGCGGGGGUUACUUCAUCUGUCAAAUGAAUGACAUAAGCUCUACUUUAUGCAAUCACUAUUUGAAGAAACUUGAUGUUCACUGCUUCUGACAAGCACGGAGCCCAACUACAGGGAAAAGUAUUCCAUGU
Molecule: unclassified non-coding RNA, 677 nt
Filed under: Hevea brasiliensis (rubber tree)
Lineage: Eukaryota; Viridiplantae; Streptophyta; Magnoliopsida; Malpighiales; Euphorbiaceae
Source: RNAcentral